RNAcentral lists this ribosomal RNA (250 nucleotides) under uncultured bacterium. Its description in RNAcentral is "partial 16S ribosomal RNA". It matches the Rfam family "Bacterial small subunit ribosomal RNA", at positions 524 to 773 of the family's 1533-position model. The record is from RNAcentral.
UACGGAGGGUGCAAGCGUUAUCCGGAUUCACUGGGUUUAAAGGGUGCGUAGGCGGCCUGAUAAGUCAGUGGUGAAAGCUCUCAGCUUAACUGGGAAACUGCCAUUGAAACUGUCAGGCUUGAGUACAAUUGAAGUGGGCGGAAUACAUCAUGUAGCGGUGAAAUGCUUAGAUAUGAUGUAGAACACCGAUUGCGAAGGCAGCUCACUAAAUUGCAACUGACGCUGAGGCACGAAAGCGUGGGUAGCGAAC